Long non-coding RNA from Rhodamnia argentea, 835 nucleotides. RefSeq lists it as uncharacterized. The transcript is spliced from 4 exons. The record is from RefSeq and is a predicted model, not a curated record. Lineage: Eukaryota; Viridiplantae; Streptophyta; Magnoliopsida; Myrtales; Myrtaceae.
UUGGAUAUAUAGCUAUGCUGUUGGAUGAAUUACUUAGCGCAUUUACGAGUCGAUGACACACACAACCGUUUCCUACGGGUCGUAAGUUCUCUGGAUGCUCACUCAGAUUCCGUCGAAUAUGUGGGACCGGCACCAAGCUCUCCGUUGGCUGAAACUGGAGGCUUGGAUCAUAAGCUUAUUAUAUGGGAUCUCUAGCAUUCUUCUCCCCGUGCCACCUGUAAUCAUGAGGGCAGAGUGACUUGCUUGACAUGGGUCGGUACGUCGCGAUUCCUGGCUGCAGGUUCUCUCAAUGGCAAAGGGUGGGGGAUAACCUUUCCGGUGAUUGUUGUGCCCUCUAGUAUUGACUCUGGCCAAAUUCUUCUCAACAAAUUUGAUCACAUAACAUGACUGCUCGUGACUAGUUAUGGACUCGUCGUAUAUCAUUUGCAUAUGUGAGAAAUGUGACAAAAAUGCAGGGGUUACUCUAAAAAGAUAUUUCGGAACCCUAUAUCGAUUUGUGUUCGGUGUUGACUCCUGUCAGAUUCUCGCUGGGACAUUUAGCAACAUGCUCUCACUUGUAGUACAUUCUUCUGCUUUUUAUACGUAUAUACUUAUGUGAUGAAUUUGCCACAUAUAAUCAGUCACACUGCCAUCGAUUUCCAAAAUUCGGGGCAAAUUGCGAAAAAUUGAAGUGGCGGAGGAAAAUUUGGAAAAAUCAGAAGAACAUGUCAAUUUACUGCGUCAAGACAGAGCCAUUUGAGUUUUUAACUGAGCUUUUCCUAAACAGAGUAAUGGUGCACCCUUUACCCCCAUAUUAUCUGAGUUUCUUUUUUUCUUAAAACAGAGUAAGGAAUAA